GUGUGUACACCUGCAGAGUUGUAACAUGCGGGCAUUUCUCCCCUCAGCCCGCCAUUCUGGCUUCUUAACUUGCACCCUAACAGCUCGACAGAACCUUGGCGUCCACAAAAAGGACUUGAGGUGGGACAUGGAAGAACAGGGACCCCUCCUGGUUUGUCCACCCAGCCCACACCUCCAUUCCUCACCCAACCUACCACUUCAGAGCCGGGAAAAGACCUCAGAGAACAUCCGCUCCGACUCUACCGAGGCUCAGACAGGACAACAAGAGUGUGCUGGACACUGGGAAAUGUGGUCCAGGAGCAGUCACAGUCCCUAUAGACCUCCCACAAAUUACCGUAAUGCAAAGAGUGCUCAGCCCCUGCCGACAUGAGCAAUGGGCAGCGCGUCCAGCUGGGUUCCUGCCCCAUGAGAAGCACACAGCCUGGUUUGGUAGGUGGGGCUCCAUCAGGGCUGUUUGGAUACCUGGGUGGAGCCCACAGACCAGCCCCCACCUUGUGUGGUUAGGGCUUUGCUAGGAAGGCCCAUCUGUGCGCCAUGACCUUGGAACUCGAUGUGAGAUCCCUGGACCGGCAGCAGCACCUGGAAGCUUGUUGGAAAUGCUGAUCUCAGGUGGGACUCCAGAAUUCCCGCAUCUGCACCUGCACUCCCAAAAUACCUCCCCACCAGGUGAUCCGAGGCCAUGGGGCGGUCUGAAGGGCACUGUGCUGGGGCGUCCCACCACUAGAAAUCCAGUCCGGUAAUCUGAAGAUGUAAGUGCCCCCAGGAGGAGUGACGGAGUGACACAAAUGACACAAGGGGAGGGGACUUGUCAGGUGUCCACUCCUGACUGCAAGUUCCCAGGGCAGAAGGCAAUGCCCCCACAGGGACUUUUCCAGACACUCCGAGUGCACCUGAAUUGCAUUUUGAGUGAUGCUGCCUGCUAAGCAGGAAGAGCCCUCCGGAGCCUCGAAAAGCAGAGUGGAAGUGGUGGUGCCCAGGACGCAUGGGCUCUGAUGGGAAGAGGGAGGUGGGCCUGAGCAUGGGCCUUCUUCUCCCCAGGUCAGAGGGGCCUGGAUGCCCCUGGAGGGAACACUGAGGUCACCUCUGGCCAAAUCUUCCUGUUCUGCCAGUACCCAGCCCUGUUCAGUGACGUCAAGCUUUUGGGUCCCUGUCCUGGGGCCCUCCACGCUGGCCGGGCUGUGUAGAGACGCCCUUCUCUCCACUUUAUUGGGUCCAGAUUGUUGUGUGGCUUCUCCCCUCCUCUGCAGCCUGGGGUCUGAAAACAGCGAUGCCAACAGACAGACAGAUUUCCAAAAGAAAGGUCCGGCUCAGCCAAGGACAAAGGGGCCUCGCAGAGGCUCCUGGGGGUCAGAAAGCUGAGAGUCUACCAGGCAGGUGCCUUCUCCACCCACAGGCACAAGCUACAACAGCUUUCCAAGAAGUGCAUCCACAUCGUCCCCAGGUCCAGAUGCCCACAUUGCCCUGCAGGGACCAAGACCACACUCGGGCUGCUUGGACAGGAUGUAGCUGGUCACUGUUCUGGAGCUGGCCCCUCUGUAGCCUGUGACAAUCAGCUUGAGUCUCUCUGCCAAGUCUCCGCCUUCUGUUCUUCUUGCCGACCUUGAAGCAGAGUUGACGUUUCAGGUUUUUCCAGCAGACAAAGCUCACUCAAUCUGAUACUGUGGAGGUUGUUAAUUUAACAACCAACCCAUCCUCAUGUUGAGAAACCAGCUCCAAAUGCUCACCUGGCUGUCAGGGAUGGGGAGCCUCAUGGGUGAAAGAGGGUUGUGAUGGCAUAAUUUAAACCAAAAGAGGCAUUCGCGGUUGCCCGUGUUGCCUCAGGCCUGCUGGCCUCCUGCUGUGAACAUUUUGGGCAAUACUGUCUCUGCCAGUGACCCCCAAUUGUCCACUUGUCUCCAGCAAGAUCGAACCAUGUAAGUGCCAUUUCUGACAAGUUGGGUGAACGUUGGUUUCAAAUCAUCAGCUCUGCAUUCAAGUGCCCUGCUACAAUUCUGGCUCACUCUGUGGGAAUAACUGCCUGCCUGGGCACGUUGCUGUUGCUGCCUCCCAAACGGCAGUUUCUGGGGUCCCAGGUCAUCCAGGCUGGAUGUGGCUUGGGAGAGACCUGUGGCACCAGGUUGGAGGGAGGUCUCACCUCUCCUUUCUGAGCUGUGGACUGCAGCUUCAGGACCCUAUGGAUGAGGCCGAAUGUCAUGAAGAUAAUGGAAUUUGGAGUCUCAACAAAGCCAAGCCACAUGCCAGAGAUUCACCACCUGGGGCCCAGGAUCAGAAGUGUGCCCUUAGGAGGCCAAACAUCCACCUGUCUACCAACUAGACAUUUGGUCUCAGACAGCAAGAAAGGCUGCGUUUAUGUCAUUAGGGGGAACACCACGGUCUUCGGCAUGAGAGAGGUGUAAUUCUCAAGUUCAUCAGAGCUCGGCUUCCCCCAUGAGAGGAAACAAUUUGCCAGGUUGAAGAACACACGCUUUGAGGGUUCUCAGAGGCUGACACCUGUUGUGAAUCUUGGAAACUCAAGCCCCAGUGCAAACGGCCUUGAAGGAGGUCGAGCAUCAUGGUUCCAACAAGUGACUCGCUUUGAUAACCCGAUGUGUAAGCAGAAUCGCAAUGCAUCCGUCCUUCCCUAAUCAUCACGUGGCUGUCAUCUGGUCAAUGAACUGAGGCCCGAAGGCUUGAGUCAAACUGGUUUUCAAGGCUGUGCUCAUGGGAUUUAUAUGUUUCUUGAGCCCUGUUGGAGGCUCUUGGCAGGUCUGAACAUUAAACAUUUCUUUUCUUCCUUUUGC
Molecule: long non-coding RNA, 2780 nt
Filed under: Homo sapiens (human)
Lineage: Eukaryota; Metazoa; Chordata; Mammalia; Primates; Hominidae
Description: non-protein coding TMEM51-AS1:4
Source: RNAcentral